GAUGAAGAACGCAGCGAAAUGCGAUAAGUAAUGUGAAUUGCAGAAUUCAGUGAAUCAUCGAAUCUUUGAACGCACAUUGCGCCCUCUGGUAUUCCGGGGGGCAUGCCUGUUCGAGCGUCAUUAUAACCACUCAAGCUCUCGCUUGGUAUUGGGGUUCGCGGUUCCGCGGCCCCUAAAAUCAGUGGCGGUGCCUGUCGGCUCUACGCGUAGUAAUACUCCUCGCGAUUGAGUCCGGUAGGUCUACUUGCCAGCAACCCCCAAUUUUUACAGGUUGACCUCGGAUCAGGUAGGAUUACCCGCUGAACUUAAGCAUAUCAAUAAGCGGAGGA
Molecule: unclassified non-coding RNA, 329 nt
Filed under: soil metagenome
Description: partial contains 5.8S ribosomal RNA, internal transcribed spacer 2, and large subunit ribosomal RNA
Rfam family: 5.8S ribosomal RNA (bases 1-120)
Source: RNAcentral